Molecule: ribosomal RNA, 740 nt
Filed under: uncultured bacterium
Lineage: Bacteria
Description: bacterial SSU rRNA
Rfam family: Bacterial small subunit ribosomal RNA
Source: RNAcentral
AGAGUUUGAUCCUGGCUCAGAACGAACGCUGGCGGCAGGCCUAACACAUGCAAGUCGAACGCCCCGCAAGGGGAGUGGCAAACGGGUGAGUAACACGUGGGAAUUUUCCUCAUAGUUCGGGAUAGCCUCGGGAAACUGGGAUUAAUACCGGAUACGGUCUACGGACGAAAGAUUUAUCGCUAUGAGAUAAGCCCGCGCCUGAUUAGCUAGUUGGUGAGGUAAUGGCUCACCAAGGCUACGAUCAGUAGCUGGUCUGAGAGGACGACCAGCCACACUGGGACUGAGAUACGGCCCAGACUCCUACGGGAGGCAGCAGUGGGGAAUAUUGGACAAUGGGCGCAAGCCUGAUCCAGCCAUGCCGCGUGAGUGAUGAAGGCCUUCGGGUUGUAAAGCUCUUUAGCAGGGGAAAAUAAUGAUGGUACCCUGAAAAUAAGCUCCGGCUAACUCCGUGCCAGCAGCCGCGGUAAUACGGAGGGAGCUAGCGUUGUUCGGAAUUACUGGGCGUAAAGCGAGCGCAGGCUGUGUAUCAAGUCAGAGGUGAAAUCCCGGAGCUUAACUCCGGAAUUGCCUUUGAAACUGAUACGCUAGAGUCUGGAAGAGGGUGGUGGAAUUCUUAGUGUAGCGGUGAAAUGCGUAGAUAUUAAGAGGAACACCAGUGGCGAAGGCGGCCACCUGGUCCAGUACUGACGCUAUAGCUCGAAAGCGUGGGGAUCAAACAGGAUUAGAUACCCUGGUAGUCC